Molecule: ribosomal RNA, 253 nt
Filed under: uncultured bacterium
Lineage: Bacteria
Description: partial 16S ribosomal RNA
Rfam family: Bacterial small subunit ribosomal RNA
Source: RNAcentral
UACGUAGGAGGCAAGCGUUGUCCGGAAUUACUGGGCGUAAAGCGCGCGUAGGUGGCCAUGUAAGUCCGCUGUGAAAGUCAAAGGCUCAACCUUUGAAAGCCGGUGGAUACUGCAUGGCUAGAGUACGGAAGAGGCGAGUGGAAUUCCUGGUGUAGCGGUGGAAUGCGCAGAUAUCAGGAGGAACACCAAUAGCGAAGGCAGCUCGCUGGGACGGUACUGACGCUGAGACGCGAAAGCGUGGGGAGCGAACAGG